AGACACGUGUGGGAGGAACGGCGUCUUGGCUCCCGGGCUGUGCGCAGCGCCAGCGUGGCCGGCACCCACUUGCUGCAGAGCCGGCACUGCACUGGGGUCCUGGGGGCGGCUCCUCCAGACGUCUCCGCGGGUUGUCGGGUGCUGCCAAGUUGGGCUGGGGGACGCCACAGGUAGUGGUGGGUCCCGAGCAGCGGCUGGCCCCUCAUCUCACUGCCCCUCCCCGCAGCUCUGCCUCCUCGGACCCCACCGUCCCCUGGAAGCUCGCGCAGGGCACCUGCCACUGUGACCACUUGGACGCGGGUUUUCCUGGUGUCUUUGCAAAAGCUCAGGAUCGGACUUUGUCAGCAAGGUGGGUCCCUCCUCUCAGCAUAGCAAGCUUGUUUCUACCCUGGUCCCGAGAACCUCAGAGGCUGAAGCUUGAGUCCCCACCUGAAGGUGUCUGCUUUUCCAGAAUAGAGAAGAAGAACUAUGGCCCAGGGGUCACUGUCAUUCGGGGACGUGGCUGUGGGCUUCACCCGGAAAGAGUGGCAGCAGCUGGACCUGGAGCAGAGGACCCUGUACCAGGAUGUGAUGCUGGAGAUCUACAGCCACCUGCUCUCUGUGGGGUGUCAAGUCAGCAAACCAGCUGUGAUCUCCAGUUUGGAGCAGGGGAAGGAGCCAUGGAUGGAGGAGGAAGAGAUAAGGACGUGGAGCUUCCCAGAAGAAGUUUGGCAAGUUGCUACCCAGCCAGAUAGCCAACAGCAACACGAAGACCAACAUUUGAGCCAUACGUUUCUAGACAAGAAAGACUGGACCGGAAAUGAGCUUCAUGAAUGUAACGAACUUGGAAAAAAACUCCAUCAGAACCCAAACCUCCUUCCAUCAAAACAGCAGGUCCGCACACGUGACUUGUGCAGAAAGAGUUUGAUGUGUAACCUGGACUUCACUCCUAACGCCUACCUGGCGAGGAGGAGAUUUCAGUGCGACGGCCACGGAAACUUCUCUAUUCGAAACUUGAAACUCCACCUUCAGGAGCGAAUCCACGCGGAGGUCACCAGUGUGGCAGUGCUUUAAGCUGUGACGAGGGAGUUCCUGCAGCUCAGGGAGCCAGUAGUGAGAAACCCCACGAAUGCACGAAGUGUGGGAAAGCCUUGUGCUGCAGAUCGGACCUCAGGGUACAUCACGGGGUCCACGCGGGGGAGAAGUCCUCUGCGUGCAGUGAACGGGGGAGUGGUUUCAGGGAGAAGCUUUGCCCUGACAAACAGGGAACUCACACAAAGGAGAAACCCGCUAGAGACAGAAGUGGUAAAACGAUCUUCCGGAAGACACGCCUGUGUGUCCCGGGCACAGUUCACGCCGGAGCGAAGCCUUACAAGUGUUGGGAGUGUGAGAAAACCUCCCACAAGUCGCGCCUCAUCGAGCACCUUCGCUCCCACCCGGGGGAGAAGCCCUGCGGCUGCAGGGAAUGCGGAAAGGCCUUUUUCCAGAAGUCACACCUCAUCCUGCGUCAGAGGACUCACACGGGGGAGAAGCCCUGCGGCUGCGCGGAGUGCGGGAAAGCUGCUCCCAGGACUCCUGCCUCCUGACCCACAGGCGGACUCGCGGGGAAGAAACCGUACGAGUGCUCCGACUGCG
This 1614-nucleotide long non-coding RNA is filed under the name Homo sapiens (human). RNAcentral's name for it is "long non-coding RNA NONHSAT213120.1". The record is from RNAcentral. Lineage: Eukaryota; Metazoa; Chordata; Mammalia; Primates; Hominidae.